Molecule: ribosomal RNA, 253 nt
Filed under: uncultured bacterium
Lineage: Bacteria
Description: partial 16S ribosomal RNA
Rfam family: Bacterial small subunit ribosomal RNA
Source: RNAcentral
UACGAAGGGGGCUAGCGUUGUUCGGAAUUACUGGGCGUAAAGCGCACGUAGGCGGAUACUUAAGUCAGGGGUGAAAUCCCGGGGCUCAACCCCGGAACUGCCUUUGAAACUGCAGUGCUAGAAUUCUGGAGAGGCGAGUGGAAUUCCGAGUGUAGAGGUGAAAUUCGUAGAUAUUCGGAAGAACACCAGUGGCGAAGGCGACUCGCUGGACAGAUAUUGACGCUGAGGUGCGAAAGCGUGGGGAGCAAACAGG